CGUAAUCCGGGUUGCGGACAGUGUCUGGUGGGUAGUUUGACUGGGGCGGUCUCCUCCUAAAGAGUAACGGAGGAGCACGAAGGUUGGCUAAUCCUGGUCGGACAUCAGGAGGUUAGUGCAAUGGCAUAAGCCAGCUUGACUGCGAGCGUGACGGCGCGAGCAGGUGCGAAAGCAGGUCAUAGUGAUCCGGUGGUUCUGAAUGGAAGGGCCAUCGCUCAACGGAUAAAAGGUACUCCGGGGAUAACAGGCUGAUACCGCCCAAGAGUUCAUAUCGACGGCGGUGUUUGGCACCUCGAUGUCGGCUCAUCACAUCCUGGGGCUGAAGUAGGUCCCAAGGGUAUGGCUGUUCGCCAUUUAAAGUGGUACGCGAGCUGGGUUUAGAACGUCGUGAGACAGUUCGGUCCCUAUCUGCCGUGGGCGCUGGAGAACUGAGGGGGGCUGCUCCUAGUACGAGAGGACCGGAGUGGACGCAUCACUGGUGUUCGGGUUGUCAUGCCAAUGGCACUGCCCGGUAGCUAAAUGCGGAAGAGAUAAGUGCUGAAAGCAUCUAAGCACGAAACUUGCCCCGAGAUGAGUUCUCCCUGACUCCUUGAGGGUCCUGAAGGAACGUUGAAGACGACGACGUUGAUAGGCCGGGUGUGUAAGCGCAGCGAUGCGUUGAGCUAACCGGUACUAAUGAACCGUGAGGCUUAACCUU
Molecule: ribosomal RNA, 697 nt
Filed under: human gut metagenome
Description: bacterial LSU rRNA
Rfam family: Bacterial large subunit ribosomal RNA
Source: RNAcentral